RNAcentral lists this ribosomal RNA (352 nucleotides) under uncultured bacterium. RNAcentral describes it as "bacterial SSU rRNA". It matches the Rfam family "Bacterial small subunit ribosomal RNA", at positions 29 to 386 of the family's 1533-position model. The record is from RNAcentral.
AUUGAACGCUGGCGGCAUGCCUAACACAUGCAAGUCGCACGCGGAAGGGGGCAACCCCGAGUAGAGUGGCGGACGGGUGCGUAAUACGUAGGAAUCUACCUGAUAGUGGGGGACAACCCGGCGAAAGCCGGGCUAAUACCGCAUACGACCUAUGGGUGAAAGCCGGGGACCGCAAGGCCUGGCGCUAUUAGAUGAGCCUGCGUCGGAUUAGCUAGUUGGUGAGGUAAAGGCUACCAAGGCGACGAUCCGUAGCUGGUCUGAGAGGAUGACCAGCCACACUGGGACUGAGACACGGCCCAGACUCCUACGGGAGGCAGCAGUGGGGAAUAUUGGACAAUGGGCGCAAGCCUGA